Molecule: ribosomal RNA, 901 nt
Filed under: uncultured bacterium
Lineage: Bacteria
Description: bacterial SSU rRNA
Rfam family: Bacterial small subunit ribosomal RNA
Source: RNAcentral
AGAGUUUGAUCCUGGCUCAGGACGAACGCUGGCGGCGUGCCUAAUGCAUGCAAGUCGAGCGGGCUACGAUCUUCGGAUUGUAGCUUAGCGGCGAACGGGUGAGUAACACGUAGGUAAUCUACCCUUCAGAGGAGGACAACCUCAGGAAACUGAGGCUAAACCUUCAUACGUUCACUGGUAGGGAUACUGGUGAAGAAAGAGUUACCUUAGUGGUAGCUGCUGAAGGAUGAGCCUGCGGCCCAUCAGGUAGUUGGUGAGGUAACGGCUCACCAAGCCGAAGACGGGUAACCGGUCUGAGAGGAUGUCCGGUCACACUGGGACUGAGACACGGCCCAGACUCCUACGGGAGGCAGCAGCAGGGAAUCUUGGGCAAUGGGCGAAAGCCUGACCCAGCGACGCCGCGUGGAGGGAGAAGUCCUUCGGGGCGUAAACUCCUGGACUGGGGGACGAGGAAGGACGGUACCCCAGUAGAAAGGGACGGCUAACUACGUGCCAGCAGCCGCGGUAAAACGUAGGUCCCGAGCGUUGUUCGGAUUCACUGGGUGUAAAGGGCGCGUAGGUGGUUGUCUGUGUCUCAUGUGAAAACUCAGGGCUCAACUCUGAGAUUGCGUGGGAAACUAGGCAGCUAGAGGACGGUAGAGGGGAGUGGAAUUCCCGGUGUAGCGGUAAAAUGCGUAGAUAUCGGGAGGAACACCGGUGGCGAAGGCGGCUCUCUGGGCCGAUCCUGACGCUGAGGCGCGAAAGCUAGGGGAGCGAACCGGAUUAGAUACCCGGGUAGUCCUAGCCGUACACGAUGGGUGCUAGGUGUUGGGGGGUAAAGACCCUUCAGUGCCGAAGCCAACGCGAUAAGCAUCCCACCUGGGGAGUACGGCCGCAAGGUUGAAACUCAAUGAAUUGACGG